AGUGAACGCUGGCGGUAGGCCUAACACAUGCAAGUCGAACGGCAGCACAGUAAGAGCUUGCUCUUACGGGUGGCGAGUGGCGGACGGGUGAGGAAUACAUCGGAAUCUACUUUUUCGUGGGGGAUAACGUAGGGAAACUUACGCUAAUACCGCAUACGACCUACGGGUGAAAGCAGGGGAUCUUCGGACCUUGCGCGAUUGAAUGAGCCGAUGUCGGAUUAGCUAGUUGGCGGGGUAAAGGCCCACGAAGGCGACGAUGCGUAGCUGGUCUGAGAGGAUGAUCAGCCAGACUGGAACUGAGAAACGGUCCAGACUCCUACGGGAGGCAGCAGUGGGGAAUAUUGGGCAAUGGGGGCAAGCGUGAUCCAGCCAUACCGCGUGAGUGAAGAAGGCCUUCGGGUUGUAAAGCCCUUUUGUUGGGAAAGAAAAGCAGCAGGUUAAUACGCCGCUGUUCUGACGGUACCGAAAGAAUAAGCACCGGCUAACUUCGUG
This 492-nucleotide ribosomal RNA is filed under the name uncultured bacterium. Its description in RNAcentral is "partial 16S ribosomal RNA". It matches the Rfam family "Bacterial small subunit ribosomal RNA", at positions 29 to 507 of the family's 1533-position model. The record is from RNAcentral.